AGCUCGGAUUUCGUCGGAGCUGCCAAGAACCAGGGGAGCUCCAUUUGGUUUCUCCAGUGAGAGAGCGCCCCUGCAGGACCGCACCCACCUCUGCUGUCACGGAGACUGCCAGCAUCUUAGCCCUCAGUCUAAAAAGAAGCAACUGAGGACAGAGGUCCACAAAAGCAUGACACCCUGCAGGGAGAGAGGCACUGCAUCUGCCAGGCAACUUGGAAAAGGCAUUUGGAGCUGACUGUCCAGGAAGGGCAUUGUAACAUCAAUCACAGAAGAAGUAAUUUGACGAGCCAAGGUCUUCAGGGAGAGAUAAUGUCUCAUUAAAUCAAGCACUAUACUUGAGGAAGAGAUGACAAA
Molecule: long non-coding RNA, 351 nt
Organism: Pipra filicauda (Wire-tailed manakin)
Lineage: Eukaryota; Metazoa; Chordata; Aves; Passeriformes; Pipridae
Exons: 2
Source: RefSeq, a predicted model, not a curated record